AUAAACUGAACCCAAUCUAUCUCACAUAUACAUUAACACAUCUAGAGGGGAGCUGAACUCAAACCUCUAUCUAAACACAAAAUCUAUAAAUAGGGAGCUUUACUCAAUCCACAUCAUCCUAUUCAAUACUUAUAUUUAAAUACGAACACACAAACAUAUAGAGUAUAUUUUUCAGACUUUACAAUAACCUUAUGGAGCAUUCUAAGAAUUACAAAUAUUUAAUAUAAUUCAAAAUUAUAAAUACAAGUCCACUGUAAUGGAGAAAAUUGCAUGGAUUACCAAAUUAUGCCUAUUGGCCUUCUGUCACCUGGGAAAAAUAAGUGAACAUAGGUGAGUGGUUGACUCAAAAAAUAUAAUAUUGAGUAUUUCAUAUAACAUUUAUAACUAGCCUAAAACUAGUGUAAACCUAUUAAUAGAAAUACAUAAAUAUCACAAUGUUGUUAAAAGCGCUAGGUGCCCUUAAGGUGAGAAGGUCCUCCAUUGCCCUAAGUGAUCGCCAAGGCGCACACCCAAGCGAAGUGAGGUGCUAAUUUAUUCUAA
RNAcentral lists this unclassified non-coding RNA (540 nucleotides) under Hevea brasiliensis (rubber tree). The record is from RNAcentral. Lineage: Eukaryota; Viridiplantae; Streptophyta; Magnoliopsida; Malpighiales; Euphorbiaceae.